AUUAAUUACUUACAUUCAUUAGCUUCAUUUAAGAGGAAACUACUCGCCGGAGGGCAAUCAUGCACUUAACCUAAAGUAAUUAGUAAACUUUAUGAGUUAAUGUGUACGGUUCAUAGUACGGCUAGCGAACAGAUUACAUCUC
This is a long non-coding RNA of Aedes aegypti (yellow fever mosquito), 142 nucleotides long. RefSeq lists it as uncharacterized. The transcript is spliced from 3 exons. The record is from RefSeq and is a predicted model, not a curated record. Lineage: Eukaryota; Metazoa; Arthropoda; Insecta; Diptera; Culicidae.